AGAUCCAAUAGCGUAUAUUAAAUUUGUUGCAGUUAAAAAGCUCGUAGUUUAAAUUCUGGCCGGAGUGGUUGGUGCGACUAUAUUUUUUUUACCUGCAUCGCCUCUGGCCAUCCUUAGGGAGAACCUGUCUAGCAUUAGGUUGUCGGGUAGGGGGUACUCAUCGUUUACUGUGAAAAAUUAGAGUGUUCAAAGCAGGCUUACGCCGUUGAAUAUACUAGCAUGGAAUAAUAAUAUAGGAUCCUUGUACUAUUUUUUUGGUUUUUCACAAGGGUAAUGAUUAACAGGGAAAAUUGGGGAUAUUUGUAUUUCAGUGGAAGAAGUGAAAUUCUUGGAUUUCUGAAAGAGAAACAACUGCGAAAGCAUUUAUCAAGGAUGUUUUCA
This 381-nucleotide ribosomal RNA is filed under the name uncultured eukaryote. RNAcentral's name for it is "partial small subunit ribosomal RNA". It matches the Rfam family "Eukaryotic small subunit ribosomal RNA", at positions 587 to 972 of the family's 1831-position model. The record is from RNAcentral.